This 871-nucleotide ribosomal RNA is filed under the name unidentified. RNAcentral's name for it is "bacterial SSU rRNA". It matches the Rfam family "Bacterial small subunit ribosomal RNA", at positions 84 to 942 of the family's 1533-position model. The record is from RNAcentral.
ACACGAAGUGAGUGGCGGACGGGUGAGUAACACGUGGGUAACCUGCCCAGAAGCAGGGGAUAACACCUGGAAACAGAUGCUAAUACCGUAUAACAGAGAAAACCGCCUGGUUUUCUUUUAAAAGAUGGCUCUGCUAUCACUUCUGGAUGGACCCGCGGCGCAUUAGCUAGUUGGUGAGGUAACGGCUCACCAAGGCGAUGAUGCGUAGCCGACCUGAGAGGGUAAUCGGCCACAUUGGGACUGAGACACGGCCCAGACUCCUACGGGAGGCAGCAGUAGGGAAUCUUCCACAAUGGACGCAAGUCUGAUGGAGCAACGCCGCGUGAGUGAAGAAGGGUUUCGGCUCGUAAAGCUCUGUUGUUAAAGAAGAACGUGGGUGAGAGUAACUGUUCACCCAGUGACGGUAUUUAACCAGAAAGCCACGGCUAACUACGUGCCAGCAGCCGCGGUAAUACGUAGGUGGCAAGCGUUAUCCGGAUUUAUUGGGCGUAAAGCGAGCGCAGGCGGUCUUUUAAGUCUAAUGUGAAAGCCUUCGGCUCAACCGAAGAAGUGCAUUGGAAACUGGGAGACUUGAGUGCAGAAGAGGACAGUGGAACUCCAUGUGUAGCGGUGAAAUGCGUAGAUAUAUGGAAGAACACCAGUGGCGAAGGCGGCUGUCUGGUCUGUAACUGACGCUGAGGCUCGAAAGCAUGGGUAGCGAACAGGAUUAGAUACCCUGGUAGUCCAUGCCGUAAACGAUGAUUACUAAGUGUUGGAGGGUUUCCGCCCUUCAGUGCUGCAGCUAACGCAUUAAGUAAUCCGCCUGGGGAGUACGACCGCAAGGUUGAAACUCAAAAGAAUUGACGGGGCCCGCACAAGCGGUGGAGCAUGU